RNAcentral lists this ribosomal RNA (465 nucleotides) under Vreelandella stevensii. Its description in RNAcentral is "partial 16S ribosomal RNA". It matches the Rfam family "Bacterial small subunit ribosomal RNA", at positions 338 to 795 of the family's 1533-position model. Lineage: Bacteria; Pseudomonadati; Pseudomonadota; Gammaproteobacteria; Oceanospirillales; Halomonadaceae. The record is from RNAcentral.
CCUACGGGUGGCAGCAGUGGGGAAUAUUGGACAAUGGGCGAAAGCCUGAUCCAGCCAUGCCGCGUGUGUGAAGAAGGCCUUCGGGUUGUAAAGCACUUUCAGUGGGGAAGAAAGCCUUGGGGCUAAUACCCUCGAGGAAGGACAUCACCCACAGAAGAAGCACCGGCUAACUCCGUGCCAGCAGCCGCGGUAAUACGGAGGGUGUGAGCGUUAAUCGGAAUUACUGGGCGUAAAGCGCGCGUAGGCGGUCUGAUAAGCCGGUUGUGAAAGCCCCGGGCUCAACCUGGGAACGGCAUCCGGAACUGUCAGGCUAGAGUGCAGGAGAGGAAGGUAGAAUUCCCGGUGUAGCGGUGAAAUGCGUAGAGAUCGGGAGGAAUACCAGUGGCGAAGGCGGCCUUCUGGACUGACACUGACGCUGAGGUGCGAAAGCGUGGGUAGCAAACAGGAUUAGAUACCCCAGUAGUC